Mercenaria mercenaria is the source of this 1712-nucleotide long non-coding RNA. RefSeq lists it as uncharacterized. The record is from RefSeq and is a predicted model, not a curated record. The transcript is spliced from 3 exons. NCBI's taxonomy places the organism in Eukaryota, Metazoa, Mollusca, Bivalvia, Venerida, Veneridae.
UUUUCCUGGAUAACGUUACAGCAUUCGGAGGAUAAUAAUCGCUGGCGGUGUUUUGUUUGCCAAAGAAAUGGUAAAGAUUUAUCUCUUUUUUGCAAAAAUAAAAAUUGUAUUUCUAGAUCAAUGGUAUGUACGUCAUUUGAAACAUGGCUUAACAUGCGAAACACAGUAUAUUGAUGUCUAUCAAGACAAAAUUCGAAAUUUUGAUAGAAAAUUAUCAAAAAGAAACUGGUUAAAAGAUAUUUCAACCGUAUUUUAUGCUCAUUUGCAUCGAUAAAAAACCCUUCAGGCAUGCCCUUAUAAUACGAGGUAGAAAAAUUACUGUGAGUCUAAUGUUUCGUGGUUUUAUAAAACAUUACAGUUUAGCAGGGUCUGUUACAGUUGUGACGUGCUACUUCUGAAUGUGUUACAGAUUUAGGAUGAUACUUUUUGGAAUACGUUUAGACAAUAUACAAUACCAGAAUAGUAAAUCAAAUUUAAACAUCAUAAAUUAUGCGGUUUUUUUGUAAGAUGUUACAAAUAUAUUAUACCAAGUGAAUUUUUUUCGAAUUUCGAAAUUCUAAAGCAAUAUCUAUAUAUACUAAAAUGAUAUAAACAUUUUCAAUGGAAAGCUAGUGUUCUAUAUCCAAUGUAUAUGAUACCAUAAUCACCAGUUCGCAUUGAAUCGUCAUUUGCACUUUAAUCGGCUGAUCCUUUAUUAAUAGUACCUGUUUAGGCUACCAAGCAAUCAAUAUGACCUAGCUUCAGAAGAGCUUGGCAAUGCGUGUCUUUAACAACGAUUUCAUUUACUAAUAUGCUUAAAAGAAAAUAUCCUCUCGGAAUCGGUAAUGGAGAACUUAAGAAAUUAAUUGACUUUUCUAAAGAAAGUUCGUACAUGACAUCAAUAAACUGUGUUUCGCAUGUUAAGCCAUGUCUCAAAUGACAUACAUACCAUUGAUCUAGAAAUACAUUUUUUAUUUUUGCGAAAAAAAGGAUAAAUAUUUACCAUUUCUUUGGGGCAAACAAAACACCGCCAGCGACUAUUAUCCUCCGAAUGCUGUAACGUUAUCCAGGAAUACUGUAACAGCAGCAUCCUAAAUCUGUAACAUGAUAUCCUCCACAACCGAGUCUCGUGUAACAGUUUUCCUCUCACGUGUACUGAGUAGUCCGGAAUUGGGUUUUCCCCAAUCAGUGUAGCGCGUGCAUGAAUCUUGGUAAAACCAGACGUAAACCAAGUUCCGGAGUGUAGUGCCGGAAUAGCGGCCUGUUACCAACGCUCAUGGGGGUGGCAGACCGGCAGAUGUGACGUCACUCAAGGGGCCACGCGACAAUUCAGGCCAACCAGAGUCGUUCGAGUUCCUGCAGCCGUAUUGUCAAGUUGUGUAUUGUUGUUCCUCGCCAUCGAUCUACUCCAGCCUCGAGAAUAUCGGUUAACCAGUAGGAUUCUAUAUAAAUGUUCUGCAAAGGAUUCAUUUUAACGUAUAUUACAGUAGUGCACAUGUUUAAAAAGAACUCAGCGUUGUUAUAUUUUCUGGUGAGUCUAUGCUAUUUUGAUGUAUACUACUAUUCCGCUUAAACUGGUCCUAGAUUUCAUUAGAUGUUUCAAAAUAAUUGAUAUAUCUCUAUAUCAUAUUUCAUCAAAUAAAUAUAUAUUUUUAACAUAAUGUUUUCAAUCUUGUGUAAUUCGAUGACAUUUAGAUCUAAAAAAACUAAAUAUUCACUAGUAAAGCUUUGAA